GAGAAAGAAUGCAAGAGCUGCUAACUCAUGCCUCCAUACUUAACCAUAUGGCUUUUUCA
This 59-nucleotide transfer RNA is filed under the name Synaptomys cooperi (Southern bog lemming). RNAcentral describes it as "tRNA-Ser". Lineage: Eukaryota; Metazoa; Chordata; Mammalia; Rodentia; Cricetidae. The record is from RNAcentral.